AGCUGAGGGAGCCGGCUCCGGCCUUGGCCAGCCCAGAAAGGGCUGAAGGGCUCCUCAAGUGCCGCCAAAGUGGGAGCCCAGGCAGAGGAGGCGUCGAGAGCGAGUGAGGGCUGUGAGGACCGCCAGCACUCUGUCACCUCUCACUAUUACCAGUUCUGUUCCUUUGCUGCUUCUUCUGGUUGUCCAAUUCAACCAGCAUUGUUUUAUCUUUCUUUCUUGUCACAUAUAAUAUUUCAUAUCCUGUUUCUAAUCUGGAUUCGUCUUUCUCUCUACUUGGCCCUUGGGUUGCAGCCCCAUGUCUCUCCUGGCCGGAGGCACCAAGACCUGGUGUCUGUCCCAGGAAAGUUAACCAGCUGGUCCACUUGCCUAUUUACCACCUUGGAUUUUGAGGCCAGGUGACUGGUGAAGGAGCCAGGAUUGAUUUAAAGCAUAAGCUGAGUGAUAUCACUGCAACAAAUAGUUACUAAGUGACCCAUUUACAUGGUGGAGAAUGUUGAUUCUGUGAGAAGGUCAAAUCUAUCAGGUACCUCAUUAUCUCAUUGGCUACAACAACAUUGAUGCAUUUUUUGCGCAAAGAUGGAGGCCUCCCUUUGUCUUCGCCAAAGCCAGUAGGAAUGUAAACUACAUGAGAGCAGAAACCUUGCUUGUCUCCAUCACAGUGCCUGGAACAGUGCCUGGGAAGUGGUGGUGGGUGCAGCACAAUCAAUAUUUGUGGAAUGAAUUGUUAUCGUUCAGCCCAGCAUGAAUCACACAGCUCCACUCGGAACUGCAG
RNAcentral lists this long non-coding RNA (772 nucleotides) under Pan troglodytes (chimpanzee). RNAcentral describes it as "long non-coding RNA NONPTRT013968". The record is from RNAcentral. Lineage: Eukaryota; Metazoa; Chordata; Mammalia; Primates; Hominidae.